CCCUUUCUGAAAAGCACUUGCUGGGCCUUGUUUUCCUGUGGCCCAGGGAGUUGUCGUGGAAGGAUACAGAAGAGGCACUCCCUGUGGGUGAGGUGGCAGCUGGUGCUGUUACGCCUCAAUCGGUGGUGCCACAGAU
Non-coding RNA from Podarcis lilfordi (Lilford's wall lizard), 136 nucleotides. Lineage: Eukaryota; Metazoa; Chordata; Lepidosauria; Squamata; Lacertidae. The record is from the annotation of a GenBank genome assembly.